UACAGAGGGGGCAAGCGUUGUUCGGAAUUACUGGGCGUAAAGGGCGCGUAGGCGGCCUGCUAAGUCGAACGUGAAAUCCCCGGGCUCAACCCGGGAACUGCGUCCGAGACUGGCGGGCUUGAAUUCGGGAGAGGGAUGCGGAAUUCCAGGUGUAGCGGUGAAAUGCGCAGAUAUCAGGAAGAACACCAAUGGCGAAGGCAGCUCUCUGGGACGGUACUGACGCUGAGACGCGAAAGCGUGGGGAGCGAACAGG
RNAcentral lists this ribosomal RNA (253 nucleotides) under uncultured bacterium. Its description in RNAcentral is "partial 16S ribosomal RNA". It matches the Rfam family "Bacterial small subunit ribosomal RNA", at positions 524 to 776 of the family's 1533-position model. The record is from RNAcentral.